UACGUAGGGCGCAAGCGUUAUCCGGAAUUAUUGGGCGUAAAGAGCUCGUAGGCGGUUUGUCGCGUCUGCCGUGAAAGUCCGGGGCUCAACUCCGGAUCUGCGGUGGGUACGGGCAGACUAGAGUGAUGUAGGGGAGACUGGAAUUCCUGGUGUAGCGGUGAAAUGCGCAGAUAUCAGGAGGAACACCGAUGGCGAAGGCAGGUCUCUGGGCAUUAACUGACGCUGAGGAGCGAAAAGCAUGGGGGAGCGAACAGG
This 255-nucleotide ribosomal RNA is filed under the name uncultured bacterium. RNAcentral describes it as "partial 16S ribosomal RNA". It matches the Rfam family "Bacterial small subunit ribosomal RNA", at positions 524 to 776 of the family's 1533-position model. The record is from RNAcentral.